Molecule: unclassified non-coding RNA, 390 nt
Filed under: uncultured Alphaproteobacteria bacterium
Lineage: Bacteria; Pseudomonadati; Pseudomonadota; Alphaproteobacteria
Description: partial 16S-23S ribosomal RNA intergenic spacer
Rfam family: tRNA (bases 91-164)
Source: RNAcentral
CCUCCUUUCUAAGGAAAGUGUAAGAUUAAUUGCCGCCGUCUUUGUAUCUCUUCUUCUCGAACAUAUAAGUUAUAGUUUUGCUACAGCUAGAGGCGCGUAGCUCAGUUGGUUAGAGCGCACGACUGAUAAUCGUGAGGUCGGCAGUUCAAAUCUGCCCGUGCCUACCAAUUUUUAUAAUGGUGUUAAUGUAUUUUAAAAUUCACGCAGUUUUCUUUUUGUUAGACAGUCUGUUUGAAAUAGUUGGUGAAGAUGAUCCCAAAUAAUAGGGUAAUAUUAGUUAAUAUUAUCCAGCUUACGGAUUGUACUUUUAAUAUUUAUCAAGAUUAAAUUUUAAAAAGUAGUAAUGGUUGUCUGACCGGUUACUACUUUCAUGUACGGUCCGAUCAAGCG